AUUGAACGCUGGCGGCAUGCCUUACACAUGCAAGUCGAACGGUAACAGGUUAAGCUGACGAGUGGCGAACGGGUGAGUAAUAUAUCGGAACGUGCCCAGUCGUGGGGGAUAACGUAGCGAAAGCUACGCUAAAACCGCAUACGGUCUACGGAUGAAAGCGGGGGAUCGCAAGACCUCGCGCGAUUGGAACGGCCGAUAUCAGAUUAGGUUGUUGGUGAGGUAAAAGCUCACCAAGCCUGCGACCUGUAGCUGGUCUGAGAGGACGACCAGCCACACUGGAACUGAGACACGGUCCAGACUCCUACGGGAGGCAGCAGUGGGGAAUUUUGGACAAUGGACGCAAGUCUGAUCCAGCAAUGCCGCGUGCAGGACGAAGGCCUUCGGGUUGUAAACUGCUUUUGUACGGAACGAAACGGUGAGCUCUAAUACAGUUUGCUAAUGACGGUACCGUAAGAAUAAGCACCGGCUAACUACGUGCCAGCCGCCGCCGUAA
Molecule: ribosomal RNA, 493 nt
Filed under: uncultured bacterium
Lineage: Bacteria
Description: partial 16S ribosomal RNA
Rfam family: Bacterial small subunit ribosomal RNA
Source: RNAcentral